CCUACGUGUGGCAGCAGUGAGGAAUAUUGGUCAAUGGGCGCGAGCCUGAACCAGCCAAGUAGCGUGAAGGAUGACUGCCCUACGGGUUGUAAACUUCUUUUAUAAAGGAAUAAAGUGAGGCACGUGUGCCUUUUUGUAUGUACUUUAUGAAUAAGGAUCGGCUCACUCCGUGCCAGCAGCCGCGGUAAUACGGAGGAUCCGAGCGUUAUCCGGAUUUAUUGGGGUUAACGGGAGCGUAGAUGGGUUGUUAAGUCAGUUGUGAAAGUUUGCGGCUCAACCGUAAAAUUGCAAUUGAUACUGGCAGUCUUGAGUACAGUUGAGGUAGGCGGAAUUCGUGGUGUAGCGGUGAAAUGCUUAGAUAUUACGAAGAACUCCGAUUGCGAAGGCAGCUUACUAAACUGCCACUGACAUUGAUGCUCGAAAGUGUGGGUAUCAAACAGGAUUAGAUACCCCUGUAGUC
This 460-nucleotide ribosomal RNA is filed under the name uncultured bacterium. RNAcentral's name for it is "partial 16S ribosomal RNA". It matches the Rfam family "Bacterial small subunit ribosomal RNA", at positions 338 to 795 of the family's 1533-position model. The record is from RNAcentral.